GUUUCACAAACACAUGUUUUUAAGAAUUAAAUAAAUGUAUCCCCCCCCCCCCAGAAGUUUAAAAAUGGCCGCAGUACUCUAACUGCGCAAAGGUAGCAUAAUCAUUAGUCUUUUAACAGAAGGCUGGAAUGAAUGGUUGGACGAAAUAUUAACUGUUUCAUUUUAAUUUUUUAUAGAAUUUUAUUUUUUAGUCAAAAAGCUAAAAUUUAUUUAAAAGACGAGAAGACCCUAUAAAUCUUUAUAUUUUAUUUAUUUUAAUUAUAAAGAUUAAUUUUGUUAUAAUAAAUUUAAAUAUUUUAUUGGGGUGAUAUUAAAAUUUAAAAAACUUUUAAUUUUAAAUCCAUUAAUUUAUGAAUAAUUGAUCCAUUAAUAAUGAUUAAAAAUCUAAGUUACUUUAGGGAUAACAGCGUAAUUUUUUUGGAGAGUUCAUAUCAAUAAAAAAAAUUGCGACCUCGAUGUUGGAGAAAGAGAUAAUUUUGGGGGGAGCCGGCGGGGAUGGUAAGACUGUUCGACUUUUAAAUAAAUUACGUGAUCUGGGGAAAAAACGGGGGGGG
Molecule: ribosomal RNA, 554 nt
Filed under: Lordiphosa coei
Lineage: Eukaryota; Metazoa; Arthropoda; Insecta; Diptera; Drosophilidae
Description: partial 16S ribosomal RNA
Rfam family: Bacterial large subunit ribosomal RNA
Source: RNAcentral